Molecule: small RNA, 99 nt
Organism: Flavobacterium sp. FPG59
Lineage: Bacteria; Pseudomonadati; Bacteroidota; Flavobacteriia; Flavobacteriales; Flavobacteriaceae
Rfam family: Flavo-1 RNA
Source: Rfam
UUCUAGCCCAGAUAGCAGCGGUAUCUCCCGAUUUUAAAAAACAAGGCUUUUUAGCUGUAGUUUUUUUGAUCGGGAAUAAAGCGGAUAGCUGGAAAAAGC